UUCCUGGAAGAAUUUGCUAAAUAUCCUGUGCAUGCAUAAUUAUAGAAAAAAUGCCAUCAUAUUAAAGUGUUAAUAAGUAAUUAUCCAUGCAUCCAAAUUAAACAUGUCAUAUAUGUAAAAUGAUUAGAAUUGCAUUUAGUUUCACAAUAUGCUGCUUCUAUCCUUGUUUAAUAUGCUUAAAAUAUUGUUUGUUUAAAUUUGCUUAGAUGCCACGUUAAAAUGAUUUAUUUCAUAACUAAAUAACUGUAGCCCCAAUUUUAAUAAACUUUAUAUGUAAAUGGGGUAGAAAAAUGCAUAGAUUAACUUGGUGCACUUUGUUUUACUGCUUAACAACAUUAAAAUAUGGUUUAGGGCAGAACAGUACCAAUUCCAAAAUAUGCAUAUGAGGAUUUUCUGGAAUUGUUGUUUGUUGUUUCCGGCCUCAUUUAAACUUUCUUAAAUAGAUAGUUUUAUUAUGCUUCACCUCUUGCCAUGUUAAUCAACAUUUAAUAUUGUUGGGUACAUAAUCGAGAGAGAACUAAAUAACUUAAUGUGGUGUUUCGUCCAUAUGCAACUCGUUGCAUAUUAAGCUCCACUUAAUUUGUAGUAUUGUUUGUUGCACUUUGCCAUGCCAUGCAUCUUUAAACCGGACAUGCAUCAUCCUUGGUUGUGCAUCAUGCCAUGUUUAUGCUUAUGUGUUUUACCAUGUUGUUUGCUUCUUUCCGGUUUGCUCCUCUCGUUAGCUUCGGUUUCGUUCAGCAGUUGUGAGGAUUCGUUCGACUACGUUCGUUUGUCUUCUUCAUGGACUCGUUCUUCUUCCUUGCGGGAUCUCAGGCAAGAUGACCAUACCCUUGAAAUCACUUCUAUCUUUGCUUGCUAGUUGUUUGCUCUAUUGCUAUGCUUGCGCUACCUACCACUUGUUUAUCAUGCCUCCCAUAUUGGCAUGUCAAGCCUCUAACCAACCUUUCCUAGCAAACCGUUGUUUGGCUAAGUUACCGCUUUGCUCAGCCCUUCUUAUAGCGUUGCUAGUUGCAGGUGAAGAUGAAGUUGGUUCCAUGUUGGAACAUGGAUAUUUUGGCAUAUCACAAUAUCUCUUAUUUUAUUAAUGCAUCUAUAUAUUUGGUAAAGGGUGGAAGGCUCGGCCUUAUGCCUGGUGUUUUGUUUCACUCUUGCCGCCCUAGUUUCCGUCAUACCGGUGUUAUGUUUCUUGAUUUUGCAUUCCUUACGCGGUUGGGUGAUUUAUGGGACCCCCUUGACAGUUCGCCUUGAAUAAAACUCUCCAGCUGUUCGCGGUUGGGUGGUCUUGCUGGUCUUGUUUUACCAUUGUCGAAAUGUCUUGUAAACCGGGAUUCCGAGACUGAUCGGGUCUUCCCGGGAGAAGGAAUAUCCUUCGUUGACCGUGAGAGCUUAUAAUGGGCUAAGUUGGGACACCCCUGCAGGGUAUUAUCUUUCGAAAGCCGUGCCCGCGGUUAUGAGGCAGAUGGGAAUUUGUUAAUGUCCGGCUGUAGAGAACUUUACACUUGACUUAAUUAAAAUGCAUCAAUCGCGUGUGUAACCGUGAUGGUCUCUUUCCGGCGGAGUCCGGGAAGUGAACACAGUCUGGGUUAUGUAUGAAUGUAAGUAGUUUCAGGAUCACUUCUUUAUCACUUCUAGCUUCUCGUCCGAUGCGUUGCUUCUCUUCUCGCUCUCAUUUGCAUAUGUUAGCCACCAUAUAUGCUUAGUGCUUGCUGCAGCUCCACCUCAUUACCCCAUCCUUCCUAUAGCUUAAAUAGUCUUGAUCUCGCGGGUGUGAGAUUGCUGAGUCCCCGUGACUCAUAGAUUCUACCAAAACAGUUGCAGGUGCUGAUGUUACCAGUGCAGGUGACGCAACCGAGCUCAAGUGGGAGUUCGACGAGGAACUUGGUCGUUACUAUGUUUCGUUUCCUGAUGAUCAGUAGUGGAGCCCAGUUGGGACGAUCGGGGAUCUAACAUUUGGGGUUAUAUUCUUUUCUUUUGGAUUUGACCGUAGUCGGUCUAUUUUUGUAUUUUGGAUGAUGUAUCAAUUUAUUUAUGUAUUGUGUGAAGUGGCGAUUGUAAGCCAACUCUCUUAUCCCAUUCUUGUUCAUUACAUGGGAUUGUGUGAAGAUGACCCUUCUUGCGACAAAACCUACAAUGCGGUUAUGCCUCUAAGUCAUGCCCCGAUACGUGGGAGAUAUAGCCGCAUCGUGGGCGUUACAAGUUGGUAAUCAGGGCCAUCCCCGACUUAGGAGCCCCCUGCUUGAUCGAAUCGCUGGCGUUGUUGAGUCUAGAAAAAAAAUGUUUUGAGUCUUAGGAUUAUAUAUAUCAGAGAGUAGGAUUCUUUUUACUCCUCAGUCCCUUCGUCGCUCUGGUGAGGUCUCCUGACGUAGAAGUUUUGACUCUUCUCUCCUCAAAUUUCACUAAAAUAAAUUUAGGAUCACGUGGGUAUCUUGGAAUCGUUCCGAUGGUUUUGUGAUGAGAACAUUGUUCUUGGUGCCUCCUAACAUUUAGGGGUUGUGGCAGUGUCCCGGGGAGUUGAGCUCCGAGGUGUUGUCGUCACAAUUUUAUCGUUGUAGUUCUGGAAUACCUGAGUUCCGCCGACAUCGAAAAUCUCUUUUAUGCAGUUGUUGGUGAGAUCACCUCGACGCCACCCAGUACUAGGGCGGGAGUUCGGGAGUAUUGCCAUAACUCGUAUAACAGAUGCUUUUUGAAGGUUGAGGUAAAUGAUUUCCGAAGGUUUCUUGGUUAUGUGUUGAAGGAUGGAUACAGCUGGGUCUAGGUAUUGUUAGUUUGGGUGAGAUAUAUUGUGUCCCCUGUAUCCCCAACACCUGAUUGCAUAACUAGACAGUUUCGGGAGUUUACAAGUGGGAAUUCAAGUAGCUCCUAGGGUAUCUUUUCGACAGAUGCAUGAUAUGAGAUUGGGGUUCGACGUCUAGUGGUCCGCCUUUCCACGGUUAGUUUUACAGUGGUCUCAUAGUGUCUUAAAAGAGUCCUUGGCUAUGCCGACUCGGGGAUGCUUCGUAUGUCAUGUGCACUGCCUUGUACAUGAUGGUGCUGUACGAUCGAGCCCAUGUGGGCCCCACCACGAAAACUUCGGACGAAAUCUCUAUCAUAUGUUUGUUCCGGCUUAUUCUGCAAGCUAGUCCUUUGUUUUGUUUUAAGUUGUGGUAUUCGAGUUGCUUCAUUGUCAGUUGUUGAUUCCCUACCUUUUCUAAGUGGUGUUCUCAUAUUCAUAUGUGGAUACUAAUCCUUCUUGAUCACUGAGGUUGUCAUGUCAACUCUUUUCCAACUGACGUGCUUCUCUUCAAGUGGAUCCGAUCAUUUCAACAUCCGCAAGAUCAAUUCUAAGCUUUUUCUCUACGGUGUUCGGUUCAUCCGUUCCAAAUUGUCUUUGUUUUCCGGCCCUCCCACCCUUUUUCUUCAAGGACAAAGAUUUCUUAACGAAGUAUCCUUUUUAUUGAUGGGAAGUCUCUCCAUCCUUUUCCGUCAAUAUUCUUAUCCGGUGAUUCUCAGGAAGAUACUAACGGAGCUUCAAGUUCAUCAUUCUCUUUUCUUCUCCGGUGGAUUCAAUUCAAGCUUUCGGUGUUGAUCAUAUUCCUUUUCUCAUUUCAAAUGUUUUUCUCGUACCGGUGCACCUCUUAAUCAUCCACUUCUCGCUAUUCAAUUGUUCGGGAGUGAUGAAGAUAUCUUAGAGGAUUCAAGUUUCUAUUCUCAAUUCACUCAAGUUCUUUUGAGGAUGCUAUCUCAUUCAGGCCAUUUAAUUCAGCCGGUGCAAUCUCUCUUUUCAAGCAAUCAUUCAACGGUGGUUCUUUUGAGUGGGCCCUAACCCAUAGGUCUUUUCCCAGGAUCUUACCUGACUGUUCUAAUUUUCCCGGAGCUUCUAAAAUUCUUUUCAAAGUUUCAUGUAAGAAUGAAUUAUCAUCAGUCAAAUGUCUUUCUCCAAGAUCUUUCAAAUUCUUUUCAUCGUUGGUUCAACCUUCCUAAUUUUCAUUCCGGAGUGCCUCAACAAUUCAUGGUGGUGUUUCUCGUCAUCAUUCUCAGAUUUUGAAGACCGAAGAGGAGUUCCUCUUAAAUCCUUACCCGUUCUUCCAAAGAUGCGAAGUUCAAGCUUGAUGCCAUCCUCUCAUAAUUGUUUUCGAUUGUGAGAAUUCUUUUUACCCAUCCGGAGCAUUUCAUGAGUUGUUCCCAUUUCUUUCCUCCGAAGGCCAUCAUGUCAUAAUUAUUCAUUCCAGCUUUCAGCUCUCGUUCUCCAAAUCUUACCGGUGCAUCAUUCAAGUAUUCUCUAAUCAGCUCGUGAUCUCUUCGUUCUCGCGUAUUUAAAUUCUAUCAAGUAUCUUUAUUCGUUUUCUAACUCUUCCCGGCGAUUCGUUCUCUUUUCUUCGUUCGUUUUCAAUUCUUAUGGUGGUUUGUUCAAGAUUUCUCUUCCUUCAUCAUCAUAUUAACUCAUUCGUUGUUCAAAUCCUACCGAUGGUUUGUUCAAGACCUUCCAAAGUUUGUGCUAUAUCUCUCUUAAUCCUUUAUACGAGAAUUAGUAGUAUCCCAAAUCCGUUGCUUGUCAUCAAUUUAUAUUGGUGAAGGAUACGCAUAACAUAAUUCUUGUUCUUGUUUCAUCCAAGUGAUUAAUUCCUUCUUCCGGAGCUCGUAGUGAUAUCAAUUUCUCAGUUAUAUGUUGUUCAUCUUUCUUUUCCGGAGUUCCAAGUUUUCCGCAUUAUCUCAUCGCGAAGCUCCAUCUAAAUCAUCGCAAGGCUUCACCUUGUGUUCUCAACUUCUCUUUAUUUUAUCAUCCUUUCAUUAUCGGAGUUCUUCAUGGAGGUUCACAUGGUGGUUCGUCAAGGAUUCUUUUCAUUUUUCAAUUGUUCUUCAAGAUUUCUCUCGAAGCUAUGAUCCGUCAAGCUAUACUCUAAAAUAGACAUGGUGCUCAACACAUGUUUGUUUUGAGGAGUUCAAACAUUCUUCAUCUUGCAUUCCGAAGUGCAAUUCUUUCUCUCUUAUCUUUUGAGGUGGUGUUAUGUCAUUCUUGAUAAUUUUCUUCAUGUUUCAUGAUUCACAAGUUGUCAAGAAUGAGAUAUUUAAACCCAUCAUAUUUUCUUCGUCCAUGAGUUGUUUCAACCCAUAAUAAUCUCUUUGUUGGAGUUAUCUUGGUAUAUAUUUCACUUAAAGCAUUCUCCAAGGAAUGUUGCUAAUUGUGGUGUCUAUCAAUGAUCCAAGUUUGCUCCUAUCCUCUCGACGAGAGAAGUUUUCAUCUCUUCGUUGAUCUCAAGCAAGCAAUUGUUUUCGUUAGUGGCAGAAUUUCACCUCAAGUUUUCAGAUGUCUCCAUAAGCCCACGAAGAUCAUAUCCUUUCUUUGUUGAUUUUUCAACAACUCCGUUCUAUCCUUCUUUUAUGGAUGCUCUCUCAAAUUCAAUUAAGGUAGAACAUGUUGUUUUCUUCUCAGUUCUUUUCAUUGCAUUCUUCCAUUUCUACCGGAGGCAUUGUGAUAUUGCUCUUUUCGACCCAUCUUCUUGUUUUGUCAAGAUCAUCUUCUUUCCUUGCUUAUCCAUUUAACCGGAGUGUUGUGUCAUCUCUUCAAUUUCUUUUCAUCUUAUCAAGUUUUUCCUUCUCUUUUUCUACCGGAGUGCUGUCAAAAUUAUGUCAUUCUUGUUCCUUGGCUAUCUCGUUAUACCGGUGUGGUUUCAUAUUCUUUUCGUUCGUUAAGCCCUUGUUUCAUGUCUUUCAACCCACAAGGUUCUCAUAAUGUUCCUUGUUCCCCUUUUCUAACGGAGUGUUUGUAAUAUCGUUCAACUCCGUUGUAUUCUUUUCUCAAAAUUGUUUAACCUCUCAAGGUUCUUUGGUUUCACUCGUUUGUACAAGAAGCAACUUAGUUUUACCUCUUCUCCUCAUCUUCCAUUUUCCCUCCGGUGCCAUCUUAGAUCUCGGGACGAGAUCUCUUGUAAGUGGAGGAGUGUUGUAACGCCCCGAGACCGAUGCUCCAGACGCCUUCCAUAUAUUUCGUGUUCGCCGUGUGUUUUAUUUUGUUUGUUCCAUUCAUCAUGUCAUCAUGAGCAUUGCAUCGCAUGUUUUCAAAAAACUUGCACCCGUUGAUAGUUGCCACUUCUUCCUCGUCUCUGUUGACCUUUCUCAAGACCGACCAUUCUUUUGUUGCCCGACUGUUUGACCCUCUCUACACAUUGCUCAAACCCCUCACACGAGUCCGGAAACUGCCCUGAACCAGAACCGCUCAGUCAUCACCAUUGGAUUCGGAUCAUCCCCAAACAUCUAUAAAUCAUCUCCGUUUUCUUAUUUAGACUCCCUAUCUAUUUAUUUCUCGACCGUCCGAUUAAAAUCGGAGGGACCAAAUACCCCUACCUAAAAAUCCACUUGCUAUAUAUAAGACCAUCACCUACCAAAUCAUCCCAACGCUAAUUUCUAGGAGGUUUGUCCCCAUCGCCGCCGCCACCCGGUCUCGAUCCACCUCGGGAUCCCCUUCUCCAUGUCUUCCUCCACCCACCAACCAGAGCAGCCAGCCCCGCUCCUCGUGCUUGAGGCCUCCUGAGCCGCUCCUCGCCGAACUCCUCCCACAGCAGCUCUAGCCCCGCCUCGUCGCCGUCCAAAGCCACCUCGUCCCUGCACCCCCGAGCUCCCUGACCAGCGCCGCGCCCGAGCCCGCAGUCUCCUCCCGCGACCUCCCGCGGGCCCGUGCCUGUGCCCCCUGGCUUCCUCAAGCCGGAGCUCUCCAGCCGCAUCGAUCCGCCGGCAGCAAUGACCAGCAGAUGAGCGCCAGGCCCCUGCUCCUUUCCCUCUUAGUCUUCCUUUCCUCCUCAUGUAUCUCUCUCUGUCCAGGAACCCAGGACCGCCAUGACGCCGCCACGAACGGAAGCAACCUCCUGCCGCCCUUCACCUCCUGCCGUCGCCCGGAUCCAGCGCCCCUUCGCCCGUCCAUCCCCGGCCUCCUGUGCUCGCCUACUUCCUCUGCAUCGAAACCGAGCGCCCCAUCUCGUUGACCAGAUCGAGCGCGAGAGCUCGAGCACGACGCCCCAGCGCCCGCGCCUGGGCCACCUCGGCUUCGGUCCAGCGGCCCCCUCCGUUGCGCGAGACCCAGCGCUCCAUCUGGCCUCCUCUGCCUCGGCCUUUAGGCCCAAUGUGAGCAGCCCAGUUCCAUCAGUUUCGACCCAGUGUAGUUUUUUUCCUGGAUGAAUUUGCCAAAUAUCCUAUGCAUGCAUAAUUACAGAAAAAUGCCAUCAUAUUAAAGUGUUAAUAAGUAAUUAUCCAUGCAUCCAAAUUAAACAUGUCAUAUAUGUAAAAUGAUUAGAAUUGCAUUUAGUUUCACAAUAUUCUCCUUCCAUCCUUGUUUAAUAUGUUUAAAAUGCUGUUUGUUCAAAUUUGCUUAAAUGCCAUGUUAAAAUGACUUAUUUCAUAACUAAAUAACCGUAGCUCCAAUUGUAAUGCCCACGAUGCGGCUAUAUCUCCCACGUGUCGAGGCACGACUUAGAGGCAUAACCGCAUAGUGGUUUUGUCGCAAGAAGGGUCAUCUUCACACAAUCCCAUGUAAUGUACAAGAAUGGGAUAAAGAGUUGGCUUACAAUCGCCACUUCACACGAUACAUAAAUAUAAUUCAUACAUCAUUCAAAAUACAAACAUAUAGACCAACUACGGCCAAAAUCCAGAUGAAAAUAAGACAACCCCAAAUGCUAGAUCCCCGAUCGUCCCAACUGGGCUCCACUACUGAUCAUCAGGAAAAGACACAUAAUAACGACCAUGUUCCUCAUCGAACUCCCACUUGAGAUCGACCCCAUCAUCUGCACUGGCAUCGUCAGCACCUGCAACUGUUUUGGUAGAAUCUGUGAGUCACGGGGACUCAGCAAUCUCACACCCGCGAGAUCAAGACUAUUUAAGCUGUAGGAAAGGAUGGAGUAAUGAGGUGGAGCUGCAGUGGCAAUAAGCAUAUAUGGUGGCUAGCAUACGCAAGAAAGAGCGAGAAGAGAAGCAACGGAACGGUCGUCUUCUAGUAAUGACCAAGAAGUGAUCCUGAACUCCUACUUACGUCAAACAUAACUCAGACCGUGUUCACUCCCCGGACUCCGCCGAGAAGAGACCAUCACGGCUACACACGCAGUUGAUGUAUUUUAACUGGGUCAAGUGACAAGUUCUCUACAACCGGACAUUAACAAAUUCCCAUCUGCCUCAUAACCGCGGGCACGGCUUUCGAAAGAUAAUACCCUGCAGGGGUGUCCCAACUUAGCCCAUCAUAAGCUCUCACGGUCAACGAAGGAUAAACCUUCUCCCGGAAAGACCCGAUCAGUCUCGGAAUCCCGGUUUACAAGACAUUUCGACAAUGGUAAAACAAGACCAGCAAAGCCGCCCGAAUGUGCCGACAAAUCCCGAUAGGAGCUACACAUAUCUCGUUCUCAGGGCACACCGGAUUGUCCAAGCUUCCGAUAGGCCAGCCCAAAGUUGCCCCUGGUGGCCACCGGCGACUGACAGUUUGGACCAAUACUGAGAGGAGCACUGGCCCGGGGGUUUAAAAUAAAGAUGACCCUCGGGCUCUAGAAAACCCGGGGGAAAAAGGCAUAGGUCGCAAAUGGUAAAACCAAGGUUGGGCCUUGCUGGAGGAGUUUUAUUCAAGGCGAACUGUCAAGGGGAUCCCAUAAAUCACCCGACCGCGUAAGGAACGCAAACUCAAGGAACAUAAUCCCGGUAUCACAGAAACUAGGGCGGCAAGAGUGGAACAAAACACCAGGCAUAAGGCCAAGCCUUCCACCCUUUACCAAAUAUAUAUAGAUGCAUUAAUUAAAUAAGAGAUAUUGUGAUAUCCCAACAUAUCCAUGUUCCGACAUGGAACAAACUUCAACUUCACCUGCAACUAGCAACGCUAUAAGAAGGGCUGAGCAAAAGCGGUAACUUAGCCAAACAACGGUUUGCUAGGAAAAGAUGGUUAGAGGCUGACAUGGAAAAAUGGGAGACAUGAUAUAGCAAGUGAUAGGUAGCGCAGCAUGGCAAUAGAGCGAACAACUAGCAAAGCAAAGAUAGAAGUGAUUUCGAGGGGUGGUCAUCUUGCCUGCAAGGUUCUCAGGGUUGUCGAAAGCUUGAUCCUCGUAAGCGUACUCAACAGGUUCCUCGUUCACGAACUCAUCUCCCGGCUCUACCCAAAACAAGAACACAAGCAAACGGAACCACAAUCAAUCACGAGAAAUGCACAAGCAACAUCAUGCAAAACAUGUAUGAUAUGCGAGAUAUGAUAUGCGAUGCAUAUGCGUGCUCCGGAAGGAAAAAAGAUGAACAAGGCAGUAACUUGGCAAACCAAGUAUGCCACUGGAAAGAUAAGAUGAUUUCGGUCGAAAUCGAUAUAAAGAUCACCGGAAACGGAUGCACGGUUUGCAAAUGGCAAGCAAAACAAGAAUGACACGAAUCUGCGAUUAACAGCAAGAUAGCACUUAAAAUGCAACAAGUAACAAUUCUACAGCACUCCAACAUAGCAACAAAGCAUAUGACAGUAAUCUACAGGAGAUGCUUGACAAAAGAUGAACACUGAGCUACGUCUAGAUCACAACAUAACAAGCGCAAACAAGCAUGGCAAAAGUGCAAAAGAUAACAGGAUCACAGACUUGGUGAAAAACUGGACAUGGCAGAAAACAGCAUCAGGUAGCAAUGUUCAGAGCAAGAAAUCAACAUGCUACAGAAACUUAACAUAGAAAAACAAGGCAUGGAAGUAUUCUACUAAAUGCACAUGACAAAAUCCCUUACUGAACAUAAGCCAAAAAGGACCAGAAGAUAUGAUGGCAAGCAUGUGAACAUAGCAAGUCUCGUUAUCAGGUUUCAGACUUAGCAGAAAACAGAGCAUGGCAGAAACAAUAAUAUGUAGGCAUCUUUGUGAGCUUGAUACACUCACCACAUAGCAAUGCAUGACAAAAAAAACAUACCUACAGAAAGAUGGCAUGUUUAUGCAGCUAACCAUGGCAAGAGCAAUUCAAUAGCAUGUAUGGAUCAACUACAAUAAGCUUGGCAAAAAUGAAUAUCAUGUUAAGAAUCUGCCAGAAAUAUUUUAUAGCAAAAGUAGAGGAAGAUUUAGUCAUGCUAUGGCACUCCAUAAUUUCAAACAAGGGCAGGAGUUGAUCAAUUACAACUAUAGCUACAAAACAUCCUUACUGAAAAUCUCCAAAAUAUGCAUGGAUCUCUCUGUAGCAUCAAGUUUACAUGGCAACAGAAUAACAGCAGACAAGGACUUGGAGAAAUCACUAAGUCCCUGAAAUCAGAAACAUUACAGAGCCUACUUUGCAUGCUUGUGCUAGUCACCACAGAGAUCACAAAAAUACAUGGCAUACACCCUUGGAAAGAUGGCAUGGCAUACAAUAAAACGCAUGUAGAGCUCAUGCCCAUAAGAUGCACAGAUUAAAUGAUACAAAAAUGACAAAUCUCCAAGUUCUGUUAAGAACCAUAGGAUAAAAGCAACUUGCCCUCUUGCAACAGAUAUUUGGGCAUCAAGAUGACCUCUAAUGAAAAUGGUGCGAUUGAACAAAAUGUAGAGCAUCACGAGACGAACAAUUUGACGUAUUACACACGCGAAACGGAGAUACAGGCAAGGAUUUAUGCACUAUUAAACAUGAGCAUAUAUUAAGAAAAAUCACAGACUAAGAAAAAUAUGGGGGUCGGGGAAAGUCAACGCUACAGUGAUUUCUGGAUCCAGAUCGGAUCGAGGGACUUUGCUCGGGCACGGGCUCGCCGGCCGGAGCUCUCGAGCUCGCCGUGGGAGAGGAGAGGGUGAAGGCCGGAGGGAGGCGAUGGAGGGGCGCGGCGAACGGCGGCAGGGCACGGCGCCGGUCGGCGCGACGCCUNNNNNNNNNNNNNNNNNNNNNNNNNNNNNNNNNNNNNNNNNNNNNNNNNNNNNNNNNNNNNNNNNNNNNNNNNNNNNNNNNNNNNNNNNNNNNNNNNNNNNNNNNNNNNNNNNNNNNNNNNNNNNNNNNNNNNNNNNNNNNNNNNNNNNNNNNNNNNNNNNNNNNNNNNNNNNNNNNNNNNNNNNNNNNNNNNNNNNNNNNNNNNNNNNNNNNNNNNNNNNNNNNNNNNNNNNNNNNNNNNNNNNNNNNNNNNNNNNNNNNNNNNNNNNNNNNNNNNNNNNNNNNNNNNNNNNNNNNNNNNNNNNNNNNNNNNNNNNNNNNNNNNNNNNNNNNNNNNNNNNNNNNNNNNNNNNNNNNNNNNNNNNNNNNNNNNNNNNNNNNNNNNNNNNNNNNNNNNNNNNNNNNNNNNNNNNNNNNNNNNNNNNNNNNNNNNNNNNNNNNNNNNNNNNNNNNNNNNNNNNNNNNNNNNNNNNNNNNNNNNNNNNNNNNNNNNNNNNNNNNNNNNNNNNNNNNNNNNNNNNNNNNNNNNNNNNNNNNNNNNNNNNNNNNNNNNNNNNNNNNNNNNNNNNNNNNNNNGCGGGCAGGCGGCGGCAAUGCGGGCUCGCCGGGCCGGCGGCGGCGGGGCUGAUGACGCGGCGGCGCGCGAUUCGACGGGGCGGCGGCGGUGGACGCGUCCAGCUCCGCCCGGACGUGUCCGGCGGCGGAGAGGGACGAGUGUUAGGGUUGGACUAUGUUUGUAUCUCGGGUGAGAUGCAUUUAAAUAGGUAGAGGGAGCUAGGAGGCUCCAAAUGAGGUGCGGUUUUCGCCCACACGAUCGUGAUCGAACAACCUAGAGCAUGGAAGAGAGUUUUUGCUGGACAAUCAAAUGGACUUUGCGGAUGCCCGGUUAACCGUUGGAGUACCAAACGACCUCCAAAUGGAACGAAACUUGACCGGUGAUCUCCGGGUGGUAUAAUAAGGCCACUUGGCAAGCCUCGGUCCAUUCCGAGAAAGUUUGACACCCGCACACGAAAGAAAACAAGAGGGGUGCACCGGAGGAGAUAGGAGCGCCGGAUUGCAAAACGGACAACGGGGAAAAUGCUCGGAUGCAUGAGACGAACACGUAUGCAAAUGCAAUGCGCAUGAUGACAUGAUAUGAAAUGCAUGACAAGGACAAAAGCAAAACGAAAGACAAAACCCAACCACGGAGGGAAUAGCAUAUCACAUAGCCGAAAAUGGCAAGAGUCGGAGUUACAAAUAUGGCAAGUUACAUCCGGGGUGUUACAACACUCCACCACUACGAGAGGAUCUCGUCCCGAGAUCUAGGACUGAAAGAACUCCGGGUAUUCGGAACGGAGAUCGUCCUCGCGUUCCCAGGUGGCUUCCCGGUCGGAAUGGUGCGACCACUUCACUUUCAGGAAUUUGAUUGACUUGUUGCGAGUCUGGCGCUCAGUUUCUUCAAGAAUAGCAACGGGGUGCUCAUGAUAAGACAAAUCUUCUUGGAGGUCAAUCUCUUCGAAGUUGAUAGUGCGCUCAGGCGUCUUGAAGCACUUGCGGAGCUGUGACACGUGGAACACAUCGUGCACGUUCGCGAAGUUGGAAGGAAGCUCAAGUUGAUAGGCGAGGUCGCCUAUUUUGCCAACGAUCUUGAAAGGACCCACGUAUCUAGGGGCAAGCUUCCCUUUGAUACCGAAGCGACGAGUGCCUUUCAUUGGAGAGACGCAGAGGUAGACAUGGUCUCCGAUCUCGAAAGCCAAAUCACGAUGCUUACUAUCAUAGUAACUCUUCUGGCGCGAUUGCGCGGCUUUGAGAUUAUCACGGAUGACUUUACACAUUUCUUCAGCUUCAGUGAUUAAGUCAUUGCCAAGAAGUUGGCGUUCACCAGUCUCUGACCAAUUGAGAGGAGUACGGCACUUUCUGCCAUAGAGAAUCUCGAAUGGGGCCUUGCCCGAACUUGCUUGGAAGCUGUUGUUGUAGGAGAAUUCAGCAUAUGGAAGACAAUCUUCCCAUUUCAUGCCAAAGGAAAUGAAACAAGCCCUGAGCAUAUCUUCAAGAAUUUGAUUGACUCGCUCGACUUGGCCACUAGUUUGAGGAUGGAAAGCUGUGCUGAAGCGAAUGUUUGUGCCCAUGGCCUUCUGGAAGGAGUCCCAGAACUUAGAGGUGAAGAUACUUCCACGCUCUGAAGAAAUCAAUUGUGGAAUGCCGUGCAAGGAGACAAUUCUGAAGGUGUAAAGCUCUGCCAGCUGAGCUGCUGUGAUGGAUUCUUUGAUUGGAAGGAAAUGAGCCACUUUAGAGAGCUUGUCGAUGACAACGAAGAUAGCAUGAUUUCCACGCUUGGACUUUGGAAAACCCGUCACGAAGUCCAUUUCGAUAUGAUCAAACUUCCAUUCCGGGAUAGCAAGAGGUUGGAGGAGACCAGCUAGUCGUUGGUGUUCUGCUUUCACUCUUCGACAGACAUCACAUUCAUUCACGAAUUGAGCAAUUUCUCGCUUCAUUCGAGUCCACCAAUACGACUGCUUGAGGUCAUGAUACAUCUUCGUACUCCCAGGAUGAAUGGAAAGGAGAGAAUUGUGCGCCUCGUUCAUUAUGACUUUCCUUAGAUCACCUUUAGGAACCACAAUCCGGUCCUCGAAGAACAAAGUGUCUCUGUCGUCAAUGCGAUAGCACUUGUAUUUGGAAAGACCCUUGUCGAUACCACGUUUCACCUUCUUCACCAUGGCAUCAAGGAGUUGUGCCUCAUGAAUCUGAUCUUCCAAAGUAGGAGAUACUAUGAGGUUGGCAAGAAAGCCUUGAGGAACAACUUGGAGAUUCAGCUUGCGGAAAGCUUCACAAAGAUCCGGUUGGAAAGGCUUGAGGAUUAAGCUGUUGCAAUAAGCCUUCCUGCUUAAAGCAUCUGCAAUGACAUUUUCUUUGCCUGGAGUAUAUUCAAUACUCGGAUUGUACUCUUGAAUCAUUUCGACCCAUCAAGUCUGUCUGAGGUUGAGGUUGGGCUGAGUGAAGAUAUACUUGAGACUCUUGUGAUCGGUGAAAAUGUCCACUUGUCUUCCCAACAAGAGAUGUCUCCACGUUAUUAAUGCAUGGACAACUGCCGCCAACUCAAGAUCGUGAGUGGGGUUGUUCUUCUCGUUGGGCUUCAACUGACGAGAGGUAUAGGCCACAACUUUCUUCUCUUGCAUUAACACAGCACCGAGACCUUGGAGAGAAGCAUCACAGAAAACUUCAUAUGGCUUGGAUUCAUCAGGAGGAGUCAAGACAGGAGCUGUGACUAGUUUCUCUUUGAGAGUGUUGAAAGCAAUGUCACACUCAGGAGACCAGACAUACUUCACAUGCUUCUGGAGGAGGUUGGAAAGAGGCUUUGCAAUCUUGGAGAAAUUCUCAAUGAAUCUUCGACAAUAGCUUGCAAGACCAAGAAUACUGCGGAGCUGCUUGACAUUCUGAGGAGGUUCCCAAUUCACAAUUGCGGACACCUUCUCGGGGUUAACAGCGAAGCCGUUGGCAGAGAUGAUGUGACCAAGGAAAAGAACUUCAUCGAGCCAAAACUCACAUUUAGAGAACUUCACAUAGAAUUGAUACUCUCUGAGCUUGUCGAGCACCAAUCGCAAAUGUUUGGCAUGAUCCUUCUUAUUCUUGGAGAAGACCAAGAUAUCAUCGAGAUACACCAGGACGAAUUCAUUGGUAUAGGGGUUGAAGAUGUAAUUCAUCAUCCGAGAGAACACUGGAGGAGCAUUGACAAGGCCGAAAGACACGACAGUAUAUUCAUAAGAACCAAAGCUUGUUCUGAAUGCUGUCUUGGGAAUAUCUUCUUCACGAAUGCGAAUCUGAUGAUAACCCAUACGAAGGUCAAGCUUCGAGAAUACUUUAGAACCUUUGAGUUGCUCAAAUAGCUCAUUGAUGUUGGGAAGUGGAUACUUGUUCUUGAUUGUCUUCUUGUUCAAUGGACGGUAGUCGACACAAAGUCGGUCCGUGCCAUCCUUCUUCUUGACAAAAAGAACACCACAAACCCAUGGAGAAGAACUCGGUCUGAUCAAACCCAUACGCUCUUGUUCAUCGAGCUGUUUCUUCAAUUCCUUCAGCUCGUUGGGUCCAAGCUUGUAUGGACGCUUGCAAACGGGUUCAGUGCCAGGCUCUAGUUCGAUAACGAACUCAACUGGCCGAUGAGGAGGCAUACCCGGAAGCUCUUCUGGAAAGACAUCUUGAUACUCACAAACGACUGGAAUCUGAGAGAUGGCAUUGAAUUCGCCCUUCUCAUUGAGAGAGAAAAACCGAAUGGUUUCAUCACGAGCGGCAUAAAUAAUCACAUCCUCAGAAGAGUGUGUCAAUUGAAUUUCCCUGGCAGCACAAUCAAGUUGAGCCUUGUGCUUAGAAAGCCAGUCCAUCCCGAGAGUUAGAUCAAUAUCCGAGUCACCAAGAACAAUUGGAGAAGACAGAAAUUUAUAGUUUCCCAUCCUGAUGGAAACAUCCGGAACCAUAGAGCUUGCAUCCAUGAAUUUACCCGGAGAGACAACUGAUAACGGUCUAGGAAAAUCUUGAUAAACCAACUCAUGCUUAAAUGCAAAAGGUCUUGAUAUGAAAGAAAGCGAUGCACCAGUAUCAAAAAGAACUUUUGCAGGAAUAUUAUUAACAGGAAGAUUACCCAUUAUCACAUCAGUAGAUUCCUCCGCUUGAGCUGCAUUCAUCAUGUUCACCUUUGCAAACUUUGGAUUAUGCUUGACCACUGCAUUGCUGGAAGAUCUGACAGGAGGAGGAGGCGGCAGGCGCCUUUGGUUGAAGCAUUUGUUAGCAUAGUGACCUUUCUGCUGACAUUUGUUGCAAGUCACCUCUGAGAGUGGACGGUGAUAAGGAGCAUUGGACUUUGGAGCUUGAUUCUGAGACUUGUUCUGAUAGCCAGAGUUGGAAGAGUUGGAAGAACCAUGGCCACCUUUGUUCUUCUGCUGGAAAGGCUGACGAAACGAAGGAGGAGGAGGCAACCAGAACUUAUGUUGCUUAGCUGUCACAAGUGAGGAAGAAGAAGACUGAACUGCGUCUCUGACUCUCUUCUUAGAAGCCUCACACUAGAGCUGAGCAGCCUCUUGCUUCAGUGCCAUAUUACAGAAUUGAUCAAACUGAGUAGGCUCAACAAGAACGAGAGCUAACUGUAGAUCCUCUUUAAGGCCACCUUUGAAGUGAUAGAUCAUGCUCUUUUCAUCAGGAACAUCUUGUUUAGCGAAGCGAGCAAGUUUCUGAAACUGGAUGUUGUAUUGAUACACAAACAUGUUGCCUUGCUUGAGAUUGCGGAACUCCUCACGCUUGCUCUCAACAACACUUUGUGGAAUGUGAUGCGCUUUGAAAUCCCAACAGAAGUCAGUCCAAGUGAUCACACGACCUCCUCUGGAAUCUUUGUAUUGCUGCAACCAAUCAGCAGCUUGGUCCUUGAGCUGGAAAGAAGCGAACUUGACAUAGUCCUCAGGCCUGACAUUGCUACAUUCAAAAUGCUUGUUGAUGUCCACGAGCCAAUCAUCGGCAUCCGUGGCCUCGGCACAGUAGCUGAAAGACUUGGGCUGAUUUGCGAGAAACUGGUUGAGUGUAGCGAAGUGAAACUGAUUGUUGCCUUGACCUUGAUUGCCUUGAUUGCCUUGCCCUUGAGUACGUUCUUGCAAGAGUUGCAGAAUCAUCUGAGCAUUGGCGUUGGUGGCUGCCAUGAUAGCUUGCCAUGCCUCCGGAGGUGGAGGUGGUGGCGGAGGGUUCGCUUGAUUCCCUUCAUUGCGAUCCGGAUUCUGACACGUUGGCGGAGCCAUCCUGAAGAGGGUGACAUCCGUUAGCAUCUUGAUAGAGAAAUAGAUAAGUAGGAUCAACGGAUAGAAAUUGCAACAUAUAGUCUUCACGAUAAACAUUCAAACGAAGAUGAACGAAUGAAUUCCGUAGUAAAUCAUCACACUUCCAUAAGUUGAGAAGCCACUUAGAAAAGAUAUGGAAUCAACAUAUGACUUCGAAGCAACUCGAAUACCACAAAUGAAAACAAAACAAAGUAUUGGCUUGCAGAAUAAGCCGGAACAAACAUAUGAUAGAUAUUUCGUCCGAAGUUUUCGUGGUGGGGCCCACACGGGCUCAAUCGUACAGCACCAUCAUGUACAAGGCUGUGCACAUGACAUACGAGGCGUCCCCGAGUCGGCAUAGCCAUGGACUCUUUAAGACACUACGAGACCACUGUAAAAUCAACCGUGUACAGGCGGACCACUAGACGUCGAACCCCAAUCUCAUAUCAUGCGUCUGUCGGAAAGAUAUCCUAAGGCUACUAGAAUUCCCACUUAUAAACUCCCGAAACUUUCUGGUUAUGCAAUCUGGUGUUGGGGAUACAGGGGACACAAAAUAUAUCACACAAACUAGCAAUCCCUAGAUCCAGCUGUAUCCAUCCGUCAACACAUAACCGAGAAACCUUCGGAAAUCGUUUACCUCAACCUUCGAAAAGCAUCCGUUAUACAAGUUAUGGCAAUACUCCUGAACUCCCGCCCCAGUACUGGGUGGCGUCAAGGUGAUCUCACCAACAACUGCAUAAAAGAGAUUCCGAUGUCGGCGAAACUCAGGUAUUCCAGAACUGCAACGAUAAAAUUGUGACGACAACACCUCGGAGCUCAACUCCCCGGAACACUGCCACAACCCCUAAAUGUCAGGAGGCACCAAGAACAAUGUUCUCGUCACAAAACCAUCGGAACGAUUCCAAGAUACCCGCAUGAUCCUAAAUUUUUUUUAGUGAAAUUUGAGGAGAGAAUAGUCAAAACUUCUACGUCAGGAGACCUCACCAGAGCGACGAAGGGACUGAGGAGUAAAAAGAAUCCUACUCUCCGAUAUAUAUAAUCCUAAGACUCAAAACAUUUUUUUGUUCUAGACUCAACAACGCCAGCGAUUCGAUCAAGCAGGGUGCUCCUAAGUCGGGGAUGGCUCUGAUUACCAACUUGUAACGCCCACGAUGCGGCUAUAUCUCCCACGUGUCGAGGCACGACUUAGAGGCAUAACCGCAUAGUGGUUUUGUCGCAAGAAGGGUCAUCUUCACACAAUCCCAUGUAAUGAACAAGAAUGGGAUAAAGAGUUGGCUUACAAUCGCCACUUCACACAAUACAUAAAUAUAAUUCAGACAUCAUCCAAAAUACAAACAUAUAGACCGACUACGGCCAAAAUCCAGAUGAAAAUAAGACAACCCCAAAUGCUAGAUCCCCGAUCGUCCCAACUGGGCUCCACUACUGAUCAUCAGGAAAAGACACAUAAUAACGACCACGUUCCUCGUCGAACUCCCACUUGAGAUCGACCCCAUCAUCUGAACUGGCAUCGUCGGCACCUGCAACUGUUUUGGUAGAAUCUGUGAGUCACGGGGACUCAGCAAUCUCACACCCGUGAGAUCAAGACUAUUUAAGCUGUAGGAAAGGAUGGAGUAAUGAGGUGGAGCUGCAGCGGCAAUAAGCAUAUAUGGUGGCUAGCAUACACAAGAAAGAGCGAGAAGAGAAGCAACGGAAUGGUCGUCUUCUAGUAAUGACCAAGAAGUGAUCCUGAACUCCUACUUAUGUCAAACAUAACUCAGACCGUGUUCAAUUCCCGGACUCCGCCGAGAAGAGACCAUCACGGCUACACACGCAGUUGAUGUAUUUUAACUGGGUUAAGUGACAAGUUCUCUACAACCGGACAUUAACAAAUUCCCAUGUGCCUCAUAACCGCGGGCACGGCUUUCGAAAGAUAAUACCCUGCAGGGGUGUCCCAACUUAGCCCAUCAUAAGCUCUCACGGUCAACGAAGGAUAAACCUUCUCCCGGAAAGACCCGAUCAGUCUCGGAAUCCCGGUUUACAAGACAUUUCGACAAUGGUAAAACAAGACCAGCAAAGCCGCCCGAAUGUGCCGACAAAUCCCGAUAGGAGCUGCACAUAUCUCGUUCUCAGGGCACACCGGAUUGUCCAAGCUUCCGAUAGGCCAGCCCAAAGUUGUCCCUGGUGGCCACCGGCGACUGACAGUUUGGACCAAUACUGAGAGGAGCACUGGCCCGGGGGUUUAAAAUAAAGAUGACCCUCGGGCUCUAGAAAACCAGAGGGAAAAAGGUAUAGGUCGCAAAUGGUAAAACCAAGGUUGGGCCUUGCUGGAGGAGUUUUAUUCAAGGCGAACUGUCAAGGGGGUCCCAUAAAUCACGCGACCGCGUAAGGAACGCAAACUCAAGGAACAUAAUCCCGGUAUCACAGAAACUAGGGCGGCAAGAGUGGAACAAAACACCAGGCAUAAGGCCAAGCCUUCCACCCUUUACCAAAUAUAUAUAGAUGCAUUAAUUAAAUAAGAGAUAUUGUGAUAUCCCAACAUAUCCAUGUUCCGACAUGGAACAAACUUCAACUUCACCUGCAACUAGCAACGCUAUAAGAAGGGCUGAGCAAAAGCGGUAACUUAGCCAAACAACGGUUUGCUAGGAAAGGAUGGUUAGAGGCUGACAUGGCAAAAUGAGAGACAUGAUAUAGCAAGUGAUAGGUAGCGCAGCAUGGCAAUAGAGCGAACAACUAGCAAAGCAAAGAUAGAAGUGAUUUCGAGGGGUGGUCAUCUUGCCUGCAAGGUUCUCAGGGUUGUCGAAAGCUUGAUCCUCAUAAGCGUACUCAACAGGUUCCUCAUUCACGAACUCCCUCCCGGCUCUACCCAAGACAAGAACACAAGAAAACGGAACCACAAUUAAUCACGAGAAAUGCACAAGCAACAUGAUGCAAAACAUGUAUGAUAUGCGAUGCAUAUGCGUGCUCCGGAAGGAAAAAGAUGAACAAGGCAGUAACUUGGCAAACCAAGCAUACCACUGGAAAGAUGAGAUGAUUUCGGUCGAAAUCGAUAUAAAGAUCACCGGAAACGGAUGCACGGUUUGCAAAUGGCAAGCAAAACAAGAAUGACACGAAUCUGCGAUUAACAACAAGAUAGCACUUAAAAUGCAACAAGUAACAAUGCUACAGCACUCCAACAUAGCAACAAAGCAUAUUAAAGUAAUCUACAGGAGAUGCUUGACAAAAGAUGAACACUGAGCUACGGCUAGAUCACAACAUAACAAGCUCAAACAAGCAUGGAAAAAGUGCAAAAGAUAAGAGGAUCACAGACUGUGUGAAAAACUGGACAUGGCAGAAAACAGCAUCAGGUAGCAAUGUUCAGAGCACGAAAUCAAUAUGCUACAGAAACUUCACAUAGCAAAACAAGGCAUGUAAGUAUUCUACUAAAUGCAUAUGACAAAUUCCCUUACUGACCAUAAGCCAAAAGGACCAGAAGAUAUGAUGGCAAGCAUGUGAACAUAGCAAGUCUCGUUAUCAGGUUCCAGACUUAGAAAACAGAGCAUGGCAGAAACAAUAAUAUGUAGGCAUCUUUGUGAGCUCCAUACACUCACCACAUAGCAAUGCAUGACAAAACAAGCAUACCUACAGCAAGAUGGCAUGUUUAUGAAGCUAACCAUGGAAAGAGCAAAUACAUAGCAUGUAUGGAUCAACUACAAUAAGCUUGGCAAAAAUGAAUAUCAUGUUAAGAAUCUGCCAGAAAUAUUUUAUAGCAGAAGUAGAGCAAGAUUGAGUCAUGCUAUGGCACUCCAUAAUUUCAAACAAGGGCAGGAGUUGAUCAAUUACAACUAUAGCUACAAAACAUCCUUACUGACAUCUCCAAAAUAUGCAUGGAUCUCUCUGCAGCGUCAAGUUUACAUGGCAACAAAAUAACAGCAGACAAGGACUUAGAGAAAUAACUAAGUCCCUGAAAUCAGAAACAUUACGGAGCCUAGUUUGCAUGCUUGUGCUAGUCACCACAGGGAUCAAAAAAAUACAUGGCAUACACUCUUGGAAAUAUGGCAUGGCAUACAAUAAAACACAUGUAGAGCUCAUGCCCAUAAGAUGCACAGAUUAAAUGAUACAAAAAUGACAAAUCUCCAAGUUCUGUUAAGAACCAUAGGAUAACAGCAACUUGCCCUCUUGCAACAGAUAUUUGGGCAUCAAGAUGACCUCUAAUGAACAUGGUGCAAUUGAACAAAAUUUAGAGCAUCACGAGACGAACAAUUUGACAAAUUACACGCGCGAAAUGGAGAUACAUGCAAGGAGUUAUGCACUGUUAAACAUGAGCAUAUAUUAAAAAAAUCACAGACUAGGAAAAAUAUGGGGGUCGGGGAAAGUCAACGCUACAGUGAUUUCUGGAUCCAGAUCGGAUCGAGGGACUAUUCUUGGGCACGGGCUCGCCGGCCGGAGCUCUCGAGCUUGCCGUGGGAGAGGAGAGGGAGAAGGCCGGAGGGAGGCGGUGGAGGGGCGCGGCGAACUGCGGCAGGGCACGGUGCCGGGCGGCGCGACGCCUCGGGCGCGACGNNNNNNNNNNNNNNNNNNNNNNNNNNNNNNNNNNNNNNNNNNNNNNNNNNNNNNNNNNNNNNNNNNNNNNNNNNNNNNNNNNNNNNNNNNNNNNNNNNNNNNNNNNNNNNNNNNNNNNNNNNNNNNNNNNNNNNNNNNNNNNNNNNNNNNNNNNNNNNNNNNNNNNNNNNNNNNNNNNNNNNNNNNNNNNNNNNNNNNNNNNNNNNNNNNNNNNNNNNNNNNNNNNNNNNNNNNNNNNNNNNNNNNNNNNNNNNNNNNNNNNNNNNNNNNNNNNNNNNNNNNNNNNNNNNNNNNNNNNNNNNNNNNNNNNNNNNNNNNNNNNNNNNNNNNNNNNNNNNNNNNNNNNNNNNNNNNNNNNNNNAUGCGGGCUCGGGCGGGCCCUCCUCGGGCUCGCCGGGCCGGCGGCGGCGGGGCUGAUGACGCGGCGGCGCGCGAUUCAUCGGGGCGGCGGUGGUGGACGCGUCCAGCUCCGCCCGGACGUGUCCGGCGGCGGAGAGGGACGAGGGUUAGUGUUGGAUUGUGUUUGUAUCUCGGGAGAGAUGCAUUUAAAUAGGUAGAGGGAGCUAGGAGGCUCCAAAUGAGGUGCGGUUUUCGCCCACACGAUCGUGAUCGAACGACCUAGAGAAUGGAAGAGAGUUUGGUGGGUUUUGGGCUGGUUUUUUAGGGGUUUUUGCUGGACACUCAAAUGAACUUUGCGGAUGCACGGUUAACCGUUGGAGUACCAAACGACCUCCAAAUGGAACGAAACUUGACCGGUGAUCUCCGGGUGGUAUAAUAAGGCCACUUGGCAAGCCUCGGUCCAUUCCGAGAAAGUUUGACACCCGCACACGAAAGAAAACAAGAGGGGUGCACCGGAGGAGAUAGGAGCGCCGGAUUGCAAAACGGACAACGGGGAAAAUGCUCGGAUGCAUGAGACGAACACGUAUGCAAAUGCAAUGCGCAUGAUGAAAUGAUAUGACAUUCAUGACAAGGACGAAAGCAAAACGAAAGACAAAGCCCGACCACGGAGGGAAUAGCAUAUCACAUAGCCGAAAAUCGCAAGAGUUAGAGUUACAAAUAUGGCAAGUUACAUCCGGGGUGUUACACCAAUUUUAAUAAACUUUAUAUGUAAAUGGGGUAGAAAAAUGCAUAGAUUAACUUGGUGCACUUUGUUUUACUGCUUAACAACAUUAAAAU
RNAcentral lists this long non-coding RNA (22249 nucleotides) under Triticum aestivum (bread wheat). Its description in RNAcentral is "long non-coding RNA (TAES_LNC004318)". The record is from RNAcentral. Lineage: Eukaryota; Viridiplantae; Streptophyta; Magnoliopsida; Poales; Poaceae.